AUUGAACGCUGGCGGCAUGCUUUACACAUGCAAGUCGAACGGUAACAGGCCGCAAGGUGCUGACGAGUGGCGAACGGGUGAGUAAUGCACCGGAACGUGCCCAGCCGUGGGGGAUAACUACUCGAAAGAGUAGCUAAUACCGCAUACGAUCUAUGGAUGAAAGCGGGGGACCGUAAGGCCUCGCGCGAUUGGAGCGGCCGAUGUCAGAUUAGGUAGUUGGUGGGGUAAAGGCUCACCAAGCCAACGAUCUGUAGCUGGUCUGAGAGGACGACCAGCCACACUGGGACUGGGACACGGCCCAGACUCCUACGGGAGGCAGCAGUGGGGAAUUUUGGACAAUGGGCGCAAGCCUGAUCCAGCAAUGCCGCGUGCAGGAAGAAGGCCUUCGGGUUGUAAACUGCUUUUGUACGGAACGAAACGGCUCUGGUUAAUACCCGGGGCUAAUGACGGUACCGUAAGAAUAAGCACCGGCUAACUACGUG
This 482-nucleotide ribosomal RNA is filed under the name uncultured bacterium. Its description in RNAcentral is "partial 16S ribosomal RNA". It matches the Rfam family "Bacterial small subunit ribosomal RNA", at positions 30 to 507 of the family's 1533-position model. The record is from RNAcentral.